GACGAACGCUGGCGGUGUGCUUAACACAUGCAAGUCGAACGGAAAGGCACUGCUUGCAGGGUGCUCGAGUGGCGAACGGGUGAGUAACACGUGGGUGAUCUGCCCCUUACUUUGGGAUAAGCCUGGGAAACUGGGUCUAAUACUGGAUAGGACCAUGCUGUAGGUGGUGUGGUGGAAAGAUUAGUUUCGGUAAGGGAUGAGCUCGCGGCCUAUCAGCUUGUUGGUAGGGUAAUGGCCUACCAAGGCGUCGACGGGUAGCCGGCCUGAGAGGGUGGACGGCCACAUUGGGACUGAGAUACGGCCCAGACGCCUACGAGAGGCAGCAGUGGGGAAUAGUGCACAAUGGGCGCAAGCCUGAUGCAGCGACGCCGCGUGGGUGAUGACGGCCUUCGGGUUGUAAACUCCUUUCAGCCAUGACGAAGCCCUUGUGGUGACGGUAGUGGUAGAAGAAGCACCGGCUAACUACGUG
RNAcentral lists this ribosomal RNA (469 nucleotides) under uncultured bacterium. RNAcentral describes it as "partial 16S ribosomal RNA". It matches the Rfam family "Bacterial small subunit ribosomal RNA", at positions 28 to 507 of the family's 1533-position model. The record is from RNAcentral.